This 963-nucleotide ribosomal RNA is filed under the name uncultured Campylobacter sp. RNAcentral describes it as "bacterial SSU rRNA". The stretch from base 1 to 755 matches the Rfam family "Bacterial small subunit ribosomal RNA", at positions 28 to 873 of the family's 1533-position model. The record is from RNAcentral. Lineage: Bacteria; Pseudomonadati; Campylobacterota; Epsilonproteobacteria; Campylobacterales; Campylobacteraceae.
GAUGAACGCUGACAGAAUGCUUAACACAUGCAAGUCGACUCGAGUCUUCGGACUUGGGUGGCGCACGGGUGAGUAACGCGUAAAGAACUUGCCUCUUAGACCGGGACAACAUCUGGAAACGGAUGCUAAUACCGGAUAUUAUGGUUUUUUCGCAUGGAGGAAUCAUGAAAGCUAGAUGCGCUAAGAGAGAGCUUUGCGUCCCAUUAGCUGGUUGGUGAGGUAACGGCCCACCAAGGCAAUGAUGGGUAGCCGGCCUGAGAGGGUGAACGGCCACAAGGGGACUGAUACACGGCCCUUACUCCUACGGGAGGCAGCAGUGGGGAAUAUUGGACAAUGGACCGCAAGUCUGAUCCAGCAAUUCUGUGUGCACGAUGACUUUUUUCGGAAUGUAAAGUGCUUUCAGUCGGGAAGAAGUCAUUGACGGUACCGACAGAAGUAGCGACGGCUAAAUACUUGCCAGCAGCCGCGGUAAUACGUAUGUCGCAAGCGUUAUCCGGAUUUAUUGGGCGUAAAGCGCGUCUAGGCGGCAAGGUAAUGUCUGAUUUGAUAAUGCUUAUCUCAACUCCGUAUGGCGUUGGAAACUGCCUUACUAUAGUUGUGGAGAGGUGGCGGAACUCUAGUGUUAGAGGUGAAAUUCGUUGAUUUUUUGUGGAAUGCCGAUGGUGAAUCCAUCCUUAUGUGCUUAUGCUGAUGCUGAAGAUCAAUAGCAUGGUGUGCAAAUUGUAUUAUAUGUGUUGUGGUACUAUGUUAAUGUCUGUGUUUGUGUAUUGGUUUGUGUGGUGUUUUGAUCUGUGGUGGAAAAACAAGUACCAAAUAUUGUUGCUGUAUAUGUUGUUGUGUUAAGUUUUUUUUUGUUUUCUGCUGUGUGUGUUACGGUUUGGUUUGUCUGUGUGUGUGUUUGUUAUAUAUAUGUGUGUUUUAAUGGUUGUGUGUGACGUGUGUGUUGUGUUCUUCGUGUGUUGC